UACUCCUACGGGAGGCAGCAGUGGGGAAUAUUGCACAAUGGGCGCAAGCCUGAUGCAGCGACGCCGCGUGAGGGAUGACGGCCUUCGGGUUGUAAACCUCUUUCAGCAGGGACGAAGCGCAAGUGACGGUACCUGUAGAAGAAGCACCGGCCAACUACGUGCCAGCAGCCGCGGUAAUACGUAGGGUGCGAGCGUUGUCCGGAAUUACUGGGCGUAAAGAGCUCGUAGGUGGUUUGUCGCGUUGUCCGUGAAAACUCACAACUCAAUUGUGGGCGUGCGGGCGAUACGGGCAGACUGGAGUACUGCAGGGGAGACUGGAAUUCCUGGUGUAGCGGUGGAAUGCGCAGAUAUCAGGAGGAACACCGGUGGCGAAGGCGGGUCUCUGGGCAGUAACUGACGCUGAGGAGCGAAAGCGUGGGGAGCGAACAGGAUUAGAUACCCUGGUAGUCCACGCCGUAAACGGUGGGUACUAGGUGUGGGGGCCAUUCCACGGCUUCCGUGUCGCAGCUAACGCAUUAAGUUCCCCGCCUGGGGAGUACGGCCGCAAGGCUAAAACUCAAAUGAAUUGACGG
This 572-nucleotide ribosomal RNA is filed under the name uncultured Mycobacterium sp. Its description in RNAcentral is "bacterial SSU rRNA". It matches the Rfam family "Bacterial small subunit ribosomal RNA", at positions 334 to 916 of the family's 1533-position model. Lineage: Bacteria; Bacillati; Actinomycetota; Actinomycetes; Mycobacteriales; Mycobacteriaceae. The record is from RNAcentral.